This 253-nucleotide ribosomal RNA is filed under the name uncultured bacterium. Its description in RNAcentral is "partial 16S ribosomal RNA". It matches the Rfam family "Bacterial small subunit ribosomal RNA", at positions 524 to 776 of the family's 1533-position model. The record is from RNAcentral.
UACGUAGGGGGCGAGCGUUGUCCGGAAUUAUUGGGCGUAAAGAGCGUGUAGGCGGUUCGGUAAGUCUGCCGUGAAAACCUGGGGCUCAACCCCGGGCGUGCGGUGGAUACUGCCGGGCUAGAGGGUGGUAGAGGCGAGUGGAAUUCCCGGUGUAGCGGUGAAAUGCGCAGAUAUCGGGAGGAACACCAGUAGCGAAGGCAGCUCGCUGGGACGGUAUUGACGCUAAGGCGCGAAAGCGUGGGGAGCAAACAGG